This 253-nucleotide ribosomal RNA is filed under the name uncultured bacterium. Its description in RNAcentral is "partial 16S ribosomal RNA". It matches the Rfam family "Bacterial small subunit ribosomal RNA", at positions 524 to 776 of the family's 1533-position model. The record is from RNAcentral.
UACGUAGGUGGCAAGCGUUGUCCGGAAUUAUUGGGCGUAAAGCGCGCGCAGGCGGUCCCUUGAGUCUGAUGUGAAAGCCCACGGCUCAACCGUGGAGGGUCAUUGGAAACUGGGGGACUUGAGUACAGAAGAGGAAAGCGGAAUUCCACGUGUAGCGGUGAAAUGCGUAGAGAUGUGGAGGAACACCAGUGGCGAAGGCGGCUUUCUGGUCUGUAACUGACGCUGAGGCGCGAAAGCGUGGGGAGCAAACAGG